Molecule: long non-coding RNA, 2176 nt
Organism: Chenopodium quinoa (quinoa)
Lineage: Eukaryota; Viridiplantae; Streptophyta; Magnoliopsida; Caryophyllales; Amaranthaceae
Exons: 2
Source: RefSeq, a predicted model, not a curated record
AUGACUUAUCACUAUAACACGACUUAUAUAGUUAUAUACGAAAGGAAAAGAGGAACAAUGCUAAAGGAUUAAGUCAUUAUUGCCUCUCAUCCUAUGAUCCAUAUAAUGCUUAUGGAUUGAGAAAAUCAUGGAUCACAAAAUGAUGUCAAUAAGAAAGGUAGCAAACAAAAUGAAAAAGGGAGACAUACAAACUAUAUGGUAGGCCUCAAGGGGUAGUGCUAGGAAUUUUCACAUGGGAGAUUUGAAGAGAACAUAAACAAGAAAGGACACUAAAAAAUAAAAUAAAAAAAAUAUAUUAAAAAAAUCAUUUUAUAUUAAAUUUUUAAUUUGUUGAGGUUUAGGAUUUGAUGUGGGGACCUCCCAAAAAAAAUGAGUAAAGAGCCAAAUUAGUAGAGAGUAUAUCUCGUUAAACACAUUUGAGAUUUGGGACCAAACAAGGCACAAGGAAUUUUCGAUCAUAUGUGGCAAUGUGGGGCGGCAUCAAUAUCAUCAUUUACUGUUAUAUAUUCUAAGUACUUUAUUUAUUUUUUAUUUGUAGUAUUUAUUUAUUUUCUACAUUUAUAUUUACACUCUCAUGAUCCAAGACCGAGUUAAGGGUGAAUGUGGGUACUAAACUUUGCCUAAAGUUGCAAAUUAGGUACUCAAGUAUCAGUUGUUGCAGUUAGAGUACUAAACUAUGUACUCUACCUGUGUUAACCUGUUGUAGCCGGUAAUAGAGAGCAAUAAAUACAAUUUUUUUUUUUUUUUUUUUUUUUUUUUGCAGAUGUUGAAAUCUAUGAAAUUUUGAGAAUUUAUUCUUAAAAGAUCUUGCAAUGGAGCCAAGACCGCCAUUAAUGAAGCUGCUGGAAUUGGGGCUUUUAUUAACUUUCUUCAUCAUUGUUGUUGAAUCCCAACAACAAACUCAACAAUCAUCCCAACAACAAUCUCAACAAUCACAGGUUGUGCAAGAUACAAUCAAUGAUCGACAACCACCACCACCACAAACACCGCCAACAUUCAUACUCUCUCCUCCACCACCAUUAUUGCCUUCGCCUCCGCCUCCUCCUCCAAUUUCCCCACCUCCUUCGUCUCCUCCGCCUCCUUCGUCUACUCUACCUGUUUAACCUGUUGUAGCCGGUAAUAGAGAGCAAUAAAUACAAUAUAUAUUUUUUUUUAUUUUUUUUUAUUUUAUUUUUGCAGAUGUUGAAAUCUAUGAAAUUUUGAGAAUUUAUUCUUAAAAGAUCUUGCAAUUGAGCCAAGACCGCCAUUAAUGAAGCUGCUGAAAUUAGGGCUUUUAUUAACUUUCUUCAUCAUUGUUGUUGAAUCCCAACAAUAAACUCAACAAUCAUCCCAACAACAAUCUCAACAAUCACAGGUUGUGCAAGAUACAAUCAAUGAUCGACAACCACCACCACCACAAACACCGCCACCAUUCAUACUCUCUCCUCCACCACCACCAUUGCCUUCGCCUCCGCCUCGACUGCCUCCACCGCCUCCUCCUCCAAUUUCCCCACCUCCUUCGUCUCCUCCGCCUCCUCGAGUGCCUCCUCCUCCGCCUCCACCAUCAUUGUCGCCUCUGCCAUCGCCACACCCUCACCCACAUCGUGUGUAACUGAUGAGAGCAGACAUUCGGGAAAGAACAGCAGCUCAUUGCUCUAUAUCCAAGGCACUGUCAUGAUUGAUGAUUACUCAAGAUUCGAUUUUUAUUACAAUUUUUUUUUAUAAAUCAAACCGGUUAAAAACGGUAAAAGGAGGUCACCGGGACGGAAUAUUCCCUCAGUUCUUUGGUAAAGAUUUGUUCGGAAUCGCAACGGUUGUCAAAUUUUCAAAUGCGUUCAGGCGAAUCAGAUGAGAAUCAUCCUUACGGUUAUAAAAAAUCGUUAGACCGUCUCUCCGAAAAGGUUGUAUAUUCCAGCGAUGUGUGCGAGAGAUGUACCACAGUGCAAGAUCUUUUCAACGACCGUAGCUCUGAUGAAGGAAAACCUAAUUUGAUUCAAUUUUAUGUAUUUGUUAAUUUAGAUUUCAUUUGUAGAUGGCGGAUGGAUUUUUAUUAAUGAGUUGAUUUGUUUCCAAAAAAAAAAAAAAAAAAAAAAAAAAAAAAGAAGAAGUUGUGCAUUACAAAAGAGAUCAAAAUCAAAACGAAACAUUGAAAGAAUGUAAAGAGAAUAUAUUGUAAUAAUAAAUGUUUGUUAGUACA